Molecule: transfer RNA, 77 nt
Filed under: Chloroflexota bacterium
Lineage: Bacteria; Bacillati; Chloroflexota
Also listed under: 2 other names
Description: tRNA-Pro
Rfam family: tRNA
About the family: Transfer RNA (tRNA) molecules are approximately 80 nucleotides in length. Their secondary structure includes four short double-helical elements and three loops (D, anti-codon, and T loops).
Source: RNAcentral
CGGGGCGUGGCGCAGUCCGGUAGCGCACCUGGCUGGGGGCCAGGUGGUCGGAGGUUCAAAUCCUCUCGCCCCGACCA